This 253-nucleotide ribosomal RNA is filed under the name uncultured bacterium. Its description in RNAcentral is "partial 16S ribosomal RNA". It matches the Rfam family "Bacterial small subunit ribosomal RNA", at positions 524 to 776 of the family's 1533-position model. The record is from RNAcentral.
UACGGGGGGGGCAAGCGUUGUUCGGAAUUACUGGGCGUAAAGGGCUUGUAGGUGGCCAACUAAGUCAGACGUGAAAUCCCUCGGCUUAACCGGGGAACUGCGUCUGAUACUGGAUGGCUAGAGUUUGGGAGAGGGAUGCGGAAUUCCAGGUGUAGCGGUGAAAUGCGUAGAUAUCUGGAGGAACACCGGUGGCGAAGGCGGCAUCCUGGACCAAUACUGACACUGAAAAGCGAAAGCCAGGGGAGCAAACGGG